This 392-nucleotide ribosomal RNA is filed under the name uncultured bacterium. RNAcentral's name for it is "partial 16S ribosomal RNA". It matches the Rfam family "Bacterial small subunit ribosomal RNA", at positions 523 to 918 of the family's 1533-position model. The record is from RNAcentral.
AUACGGAGGAUCCGAGCGUUAUCCGGAUUUAUUGGGUUUAAAGGGUGCGCAGGCGGCCAUUUAAGUCAGCGGUUAAAUCGUGGGGCUCAACCCCAUUCUGCCGUUGAUACUGGGUGGCUUGAUUGCGGUCGUGGUUGGCGGAAUUCGUUGUGUAGCGGUGAACUGAAGAGAUAUGACGAAGAACACCGAUUGCGUAGUCAGCUGACCAGACCGUAAAUGACGCUCAUGGACGAAAGUGCGGGGAUCGAACAUGAUUAGAUACCUUGGUAGUCCGCACAGUAAACUAUGAAUAUUUGUUUUCGGCGAUAUAAUGUCGGAGGCAAAGCGAAAGCGAUAAGUAUUCGUCCUGGGGAGUACGCCGGCAACGGUGAAACUCAAAGGAAUUGGCGGGG